CCUCCUUUCUUGGCAUACUCGUUGUUUACUCGUACACGUGUGUGUAUGUGAUGGAGGAACAUUAAAGUCCAGUGCUAUGUCUUCGGUGCCAGGAGUUCUGCCAUCCCCUGGUUCUAUCCUCAAUCGCUGGCACAGUC
This is a small nucleolar RNA of Notolabrus celidotus (New Zealand spotty), 137 nucleotides long. RefSeq annotates it as small nucleolar RNA SNORA57. The record is from RefSeq and is a predicted model, not a curated record. The transcript has a single exon. Lineage: Eukaryota; Metazoa; Chordata; Actinopteri; Labriformes; Labridae.